UUUUGUGGCAGUCGCGAGGGAGAUAACUAGGCUUCCCGUCCGCUCAGCCAUAUAUAAGCAGUGUACCGGCGGAUUAGUAGUUAGGUGGGUGACCACUAGCGAAUCCCUGCUGUUGUAUGUU
Molecule: ribosomal RNA, 121 nt
Organism: Pyrenophora tritici-repentis Pt-1C-BFP
Lineage: Eukaryota; Fungi; Ascomycota; Dothideomycetes; Pleosporales; Pleosporaceae
Source: Rfam